AUACGGAGGGUACGAACGUUAAUCGGAAUUACUGGGCGUAAAGCGCGCGUAGGUGGUUCGGUAAGUGGGAUGUGAAAGCCCCGGGCUCAACCCGGGAACUGCAUUCCAAACUGCCGGGCUAGAGUAUGGUAGAGGGAGGUAGAAUUUCCUGUGUAGCGGUGCAAUGCGUAGAUAUAGGAAGGAAUACCGGUGGCGAAGGCGGCCUCCUGGACAAAUACUGACACUGAGGUGCGAAAGCGUGGGGAGCAAACAGGAUUAGAAACCCCAGUAGUCC
Molecule: ribosomal RNA, 274 nt
Filed under: uncultured bacterium
Lineage: Bacteria
Description: partial 16S ribosomal RNA
Rfam family: Bacterial small subunit ribosomal RNA
Source: RNAcentral